This 253-nucleotide ribosomal RNA is filed under the name uncultured bacterium. RNAcentral describes it as "partial 16S ribosomal RNA". It matches the Rfam family "Bacterial small subunit ribosomal RNA", at positions 524 to 776 of the family's 1533-position model. The record is from RNAcentral.
UACGUAGGGUCCGAGCGUUGUCCGGAAUUAUUGGGCGUAAAGGGCGCGUAGGCGGCUGAACAAGUCAAAGGUGAAAUCCCUCGGCUCAACUGAGGAACUGCCUUUGAAACUGUUCGGCUUGAGGCCGGGAGGGGGUAGCGGAAUUCCCAGUGUAGCGGUGAAAUGCGUAGAUAUUGGGAGGAACACCAGUGGCGAAGGCGGCUACCUGGACCGGUUCUGACGCUGAGGCGCGAAAGCGUGGGUAGCAAACAGG